Molecule: long non-coding RNA, 14407 nt
Filed under: Homo sapiens (human)
Lineage: Eukaryota; Metazoa; Chordata; Mammalia; Primates; Hominidae
Description: non-protein coding lnc-MMRN1-12:6
Source: RNAcentral
AGUGGCAACUCGCUGGGGUCCCCUUCCACCCUUUGAAAACUUUGUUCUUUGGUUCUUUGCAAUAAAUGUUGCUGCUGCUCACUCUUCGGGUCUGCACUGGCUUUAUGAGCUGUAACACUCACUGCGAAGGUCUGCAGCUUCACUCCUGGAGCCAGUGAGACCCCGAGCCCACCGGGAGGACCGAAGAACUUCAGAUGCGCCGCGUUAAGAGCUGUAACACUCACCGCGAAGGUCUGCAGCUUCACUCCUGAGCCAGCGAGACCACGAACCCACCAGAAGGAAGAAACUCGGAACACAUCCGAAUAUCAGUAGGAACAAACUCCGGACACGCCGCUUUUAAGAACUGUAACACUCACCUCGAGGGUCCGCGGCUUCAUUCUUGAAGUCAGGGAGACCAAGAACCCCCCAAUUCCGGACACAGGGGGACUUGGCUGCUUCCUGUUUCUAUCAUAGACGCAGCUGGCCUCAGAAUAUUCCACUUAUGGAUGAAAGAAUGAUAGUGUUAUUUUAUGGAAGAAUUUAAGAAGAUGUUGCGGUAUCAUCGACUUUGUAACAUCUGGUGAUCUCCAAAUCAAGAGAUAAGAGAAACCAAGCAUGCCUGGAAGAGACGUUUCUUAAAGGUCACCUACAGAUCAAUACCCACAAAAAGCAAACCACAAAUUAAUGGAAAGGCAUGACAGAAAUCAUUGCCUUUCUCAUUAGGCCCUCUGCCAACUGCCUGUUACGUAUUAGAUCCACCCUGAUUUAUUCUAAGCCCUAGACUGCAUAGGCUGGUGCUUAUUGUCAUGGUCAUUAUAAGCCAUUAUUAUUCAUUCCUAGAGUGCAAAUGAGCUUCUUAUCCUUUAAUUCUUCCCUAGGAAAGCACCCCAAGGGAACCAUAAUUUGCAAAAAAUUGGCCUCCUGAUUUCUUUUUGCCUAAUGAGUUUAAUUUUCGGCUUUGAAAAGGAGAAAGCUAAAGGGACUUGAAACCUACAAUGUUAAUUCUAAUUGAUCACUUCAAAGACCUUUUACAUUCAUAGAUGACUGAAUCUCAGGUUCAGAAAGUGUCUUAACGGUCUUCUACUCAAGGCACACUAGACUCAGGAGACUGCUGUGAGAAAGAAAAAGAAAUCUAGCUUAUCUGUCUGUGGGAGAUGCUAGAAACAGGGAAACAUGAAGGGACAAUAUUGUUCCGGAAUUUUUAGCUGGCACUCAGAUUUCUGUCUGCCUCUCAUUGGCAAACAUGACAUUUCAGCAAUUUCUCUAAAGAGGAAUGACUGGGGGGUAUGUACAGCAGGCAUCAUGUAAGAAAAACUCACACCUCACGACAUAUUUGUUUGAUUUAUUCAGCAGACUUCAGCAAAGGAAAGAUGUGAAAGCAACCCUUGAUUGUUGAUUUUUUGUUCAUUCUGAAAAUCACAUCGCCAGAUCCAACACCUUUUUAUCCCAAUCACCAGUACAAGCCACCCGUAUCAGUGUACACUGUGGCUGACCGAUCCAUAGUGAUGCUUUGAGCACAAGGAAGGACUUUCUGGAAUCUACUUAUCUGACCAAGAAAGCUUCUUUCCAAAAGAAAUGCAAUUGUCUUGAGACUUCUUCCCUAGGGAUCUGAUCAACUAACCAGAAAAGAGCAACCACCAGAGAAGAGACUACCUGCCCAGGGCUUUGCCUGGGCAUGCCCACAGCAGACCGGGGGCCCACCUGCGUACCGGGAGAGUGGGGUGGAGCCACCGGGAAUUCACGCCUGAUGCCCGGGGAGGAGUCUGGCCUCUUCAGCUCCUGUGUGGUGGCCUGAUAUUCAGUCUGUGAGCUGGGAGCCUGUUGGCAGGUCCCUCUUUUUAUUUUCGCUGAGAGCUUUCUUUUACUAAAUGCCACCAUCCUUACCUUUCAAGGUGUCUGCGUGCCUAAUUUUUCCUGGUUGUUAGACAAGAACCCGGAUUUUAGUUGAACUCUGGAGCAAAAAUCCUGCAUCAUUUGUAGGUAAUGUUUGUUUUCUUUGGUUGCUUUUAUGACCUUCUCUUUAUUCCUAGUAUUUGGGCAUUUCACAAAAACAUUUAUAAAUCUGAAUUAAAAAACAAACUGACCUUGCCAAGGACCCUACUGAUCCCUUUUCAUAUAAUUCUAUCUGCUAGGUCUUGUGCUGCCUUCUAAGUUAGUUCAUCAGUUCUAUACUUCAGUAUUUAAUUCUAUAUUCAGCCAUGUUAUCAAAUGUUUAUUUCAACCUUUGAGUUUCUCAUUUGUAAUAGUAUUUUUUCAUUUUUAUGUUUUUAAAAGAGUUCUUUUCAUAUUUUACUAUUUUUGUUUAGUAACUUUCAGUACUUGUUGCGUAGAUUUUAUUUCAUCUUUAUGUUUUUGAGAUGUUUGCAUAACACAUUUAAAGACAAUUACAUAUUGUUGUAUGAUUUCCAUUUCCUUGGUCAAGAAUUCUCCCAUUUGUUGCAUCUCUGAAGAGUUUCCCAAGGUGGGUUAAUCUUGAAUAUGGUAAACUUGCUGCCCUCAGUUUUUUAGUUUUAAUACUUUAUCAGUUGUUUCUUGUUCUUUUUUUUUCUGGGCAUAUUAUUACCUCAUUUGAAAAUAAUGACAAUUUUGGCCUUUCUCUUCGAGAUUUUGUAACUCAUUUUCUUUUCUUUUCACAUAGAAUUUGAUAAGGCCUCCAGUACUUUGUGAUAUAGUAGUUGUGGGGAUGGUCCUUCUUGUCUUACUGCUGAUCUCAAGUUUAUGUUUGUAGCAAAUUUUUGCUACAUGACCAUUACAAGUUUAAGAGGUUACCAAGAGUUUUUAUUACAAAUACCUUAAAUCUUAGCAAAGACUAUAAAAACUGAGAUAAACAUGUUUUUCUUCUAAAUAGUAAUCAUUUAGACAAAUCACAAAUGUGAUAUCAGAUUAGUGCAUCCUACACUGUAUGGAAACUAUAAAUUCAUGAUUUUCAAAAAUUGUAGGUAAAUAUUUAUUUUUCAAAAUAAUUUAUCCAUCUUGCUUUACCAAAAAAGGCAAGGUCUUGUUUUUCUUUCCCUAUACAGUAGUAAUGGCUCUUUGGUGUAAAAACUUUAUAGGACCUAAAGUAAAAAAGAAGAUAAAAACCAGUUUGUCUUUCAAAGUCUUAAAAUAUUUCAUUAACCUCGUAGUGCCUGAUCUCUGUCACCAAGCAAAUAGUCUGAACUAUUAUUUCCAAGCUCAAUUCAAACAGGUAAAGUUUUACUACAAUUAUAUCUGGCCAUCACUACAGUGUUUUCUCCAAUCACUUCCAAAGCCUACCCCUUUUCUUUAUCAUACUUCCACCUACAUUGCAUAAUACAGAGCUUAGCUAGUGAGGUACAAGUGAUAAGGAUUAUCUCCCCAGAGUCUCCGGGCCUUGGUAAUUCCUAGACCACAGCACCAUGCAUUAGGUUAUAGUCACAGGCCUCUAUAUAGUCUUCCACAUAUCCCAUUACAUUUUAAAUCCUAUGCAUACCCUUUAUAUCCUGCACUUAUCUGUCAAAAUUCUAAGGUAUAAGAUUUUUUUUUUACUUAUCCCUGCUGUUUAAUUUUGAAGAAAGAAAAAUAUAAAAGAAAAUUUUUUAAAAAGAGGCCUUCAUGGAUAUCAAAGAAUGCCAACAAUAAUGCUGAAGAAAGAAGUUAUUCUACAGCAAUGAGACACAAAGAAAAGAAUUUUGUAAACAUUAGCAUCUUGGUUACUGGAGAACUAUAACUUUUAUGUAGUCGUGCUUGGAAAACACUAAAAGGGAAAUCGAGUCUGUUUGACAAUAUUCUGUCUUCACUGUUGAUCACUUCAUAAUGUGUUGGAAUAUAAAGUUCUAUACAGUUAAUAUGAAGCUCUCUUUAGCAUUUAAAACAUGAUUUGCAUUUUCAUGAGGCAUUUUGGCUAAUUUUAUUGAUUUCCUUAUAUUUCAUAGUCCUUAGCCUUAUGAGAAUCUUAUGUUUCUGUGUGUUUUCUAUCAUGUAGCACAAUUUCUGACACACAAAACAUACAAUAAACUUGUGUUAAUUUUUCUAUCAAAGUCAGAAUUUAUUCAUAAGGAAUCUGAAGUAAGGUGUACUAAGCUUGUUUAUGGGUUAAGUGAUAUAGCCAAAUUCAAAACUUUACUUUUUAUGUCAGUCUAGAAAUAUCUCAGAUUAAAACAUAUCACUUCUUAGUUCCAAUUAGAUAAGGGAAAUCUUUUAUAAUAAUGCCAGGAUUGCUAUAAUCUGAUAGGAGACAACAAUUUCAUUUUGCUACAGGAAAAUUUGGAGGACAAAAAAAAAAAAAGAAAACAUAAGAUAGAGGAGAGAAAAUAGUCAGAUGAAGAAGCAAAAAACACAAACAAGGCAUUUAGAUUUGUUAGGAAGGAAUUCAAGUCAGUCAGUAAAGUGAUAACUUUUGAAUUAUCUGAGAAAAAUAUACUCAGAACAAAAUCAGGCACACUAAAGGUAUCCAUAAUCCACAUUAUUUACUAGGCUAAAGGUAAGUACAAACAAAUCUACAUGGACUAAUUGUAUCACAGAACAAAAAGGGUAGCAAAAUCCAGUAAUUCCAAUGGAGUAAUAAAGUUGCAGACAAAGGAAAAUUAACGUGUGCAUUGCUUGAGAUAUGACUAAAAUGUCAUUAAAAUAAAUUCUAAGUUAUGAAUAUUCAUUUGAAAAGUUACAAAGUACACACUGAUUUAUAUUUCAGAAGCAAGGAUAUAUGUUUCUAUAUAAUUUAGUCCUAAAUAUAGUUCAUUUCCUAUGCUAAUGCUUUUUUCCUUCUUCUUACCUUCUUAGGUCAACAACAAGAGGCCAGGACCUCCCAAGAAAAGCUUUACUAAUGUAAUAGCUUUGGCCAAGUCCACCCAAUAUAUUUUCCUCUCUGCAAAGAGAAACAAGCUAUUGUCUCAUCUUAGGUUUCAUCUUCUUCCAUGCCACUGUUAUUCAUGUUCAAAUCCUGGCUGUCCUUCAGGGUCCAAUUCAAAUGAUUAUCGCCAUUUUCUAUUAAUGUCAUUUCUUCCUAUUUUCUACCUUUUGUUAGCUAUGUUAAAGUGUUUCUUUACCAACAUCCCCCAUAUAUUGUGUAACACAGUGUCUAUGGCUUACUCAUUUUUGAAUCCUUAUCAUGACCUGACAUAAUGAAGAUUCUUAGUACAUAGUGAUACAUGUAAAUAUGAGUUAAUUAGUACAUGAUAGACUUGAUUUCCAGAAUGAUUUUGUAUAGUUGAAUUGUGUAGUAAGGGGACACAUGUGAAAUGAAGACUUUAGUCAGUAUCAAGAAGAUAUUUUGGGUGACUUCACAUAUCUGCCAAUGAUAAAUCUAGAAACAAUAGGUGCUUGGGUAGGUGAUUUCCUUUUGCCUUCUUUAUCAUUGUUUUCCCAGUAUUUCUUACAUUCAUCUAAUUUCAUUAGAUGCCCAUAUACUUUAUACUGGCUCUUCCUGUGAGGUUCGAACUGGUCCAGUCCAUUUGUUUUCAGAAUUGAUUCAUCUGGAGAGUCAUCUCCUAUCCUCCCAAACAAUGAUAUACCAGUCUGAGGACUGUGUAGAAGGGACUUCUCUUUCUACUCAGUAUGACCAAAAUAAUUCAAUUCUAGUUGUGGUGUGUGAUUUAUGAAUAUUUUGUCCUUUAGUUUGUGUGAGCCAAUUUUGUGCCAUAAGAAUUUUAGCCUCCUUUUCCACAAAAGAGUGAUUUAAUCAAACAAAAGUUGACAAUCAAUGUAGUACAUUUGUGUGACAGUGAUUAAACAUGGUGUUUUUCUCUUAGGUGUCUGAGUAGAUUUGGAAAUGCCCAUUCAGCCCUCAGAGCUCCUCUGCUUUAAGGGUGAUGGACUUCCUGUACCACUACGUAGUGCAUGAGUGCCAGCCACUGGUAUCUAGAACUGUGAUUAGUGAGGAAACACUAGGAGGAACAAACAACCCAACUCUUUUUAUCUAAUCUGUUGACUCCAAAGGGACCUUCUGCUUAUUCCAGUUAAAACUCAAGCUGCAAUUCAAAAUGAAAUCAGUAUCUUUUUUCUCUACUUUUCAGCAAAGCAAGAUGCUACCUUAUAAUUACCACGUAACAAUCAAUCGCAAACAUAGUGGCUUAAAGCAGCUCCUCUUUUAGCCUACAUAUCUGCAAACUGGCAGUCUGGACUGAGCUCAGCUGGAUGUUUUUUCUGAGCUGAUCAUGUAUGUAGGGUCUGCUGCUGGCUGGUUUAGACUGAUGGUGGAUGAGAAACCACAUGAAGAAGAGAGGCAUGAUGGUGGCAGAGUUCUGAAAGAGUCACACAGAAGGGCGUUGAGUUCGUGGCUUGAAAAUAGCAUCCUGUCACUUCUACCACAUUCUAUUUACCAGGCCAGCCCAGAUAAAGAUGUGAAGAAACAGACUCCAUCUCUUGAUGGGAGAAGUUGAAAAUCAAUGGAAAAUGGCAUGGAUAAGGAAAGGAGUGAUGAUUGUGGCCAUAUUUGUAAUGGCCAUAUUUGAUACCCUUUUCAGUUUUCCUAGCCACACUUCUCAUUGGCCAGGAAAAUUAAAUGCAUGUCAACACUGAAGAAAACAGAUCUUGGUUAAAAGCAAUGAUGUAGCUAAUAUCCCGUUCAGGUAAAAGAUUACUUAUAUAGUGUGAGACAGGCAUGAGGCAGAGAAGUGCUUACAGGUUGGUUUCUGCUUUGUUAGCAGAUUUACUUUUAGAUCAUAUACUACUUUGUUUUUACUGUUUUAUUGAGAAAAAAUAACAAAUAUUUCCAAAAUUUUGCAGCAUGCAACUCAGUGCUUCAGUUGGCAUUCAAUCAAAAUUUCCUUGAAAUAAAAAAAGACAAGAGAGAGACUUGGAAUUAUGACUCUUCUACUAGAUUAGCUCCUUCAUGUCAAAAUCUGUCAAGUUUAUGAUUUAUUCAGAUAGCACUUGUUUUUGGUGUAAUAACUAAACUGUUGCUUUAGAGUCUACUACAUUCUCCUCUAUUAUUUGGCAUUUUUCUCUUUAUUAUUUUGUUCAAGUAGGAUAUUGUGCUGAGUUGAACCAUGAAAUGAAUUGUAUUGAGCAACAUCAACAACAUAAAUAUUCUGGGGUGUCAUCUGCAUUUUCAUAUCUGGCUGCUCAAAUUCUUUUUACAGCUAUAGCUUUGAUAAUAAUGUAAUAGCAUAAUGUUUUUCAUUAGAUAUCAAAUCAUAGAAGACAACAAAGAUGUGUUAAGUUAGCAUAGUUUAAUAUAAGGAAACAACAGCAUCAGUAAAAGCAUUGAGCACUAAAUAUCUCUUCCAUUUCAGUUCUUUUACAGGAAGCUUUUGUUACGUGUUGUCAGCACAUUGCUGUGAUGCUCAAGUAUAGCUCUUUAAUGUGAAAACCUGGUAUUUGGGCAUGGCUUGAAGCAGGUGAGAGAGUAACCCAUGCAGAUAUUAGAGGAAAGGAACAAGAGUAGCUGGAAAGAUCCAGAGUUAGGAAGCUUCCUGGUGCCCUCCAGGAGUGGCAAGCUGGUCACUGUGGCAUGAGAAAAUUGAGUUAGGGAAAAAGAAGCAGAUUAGGUCAAAGAGGUGAAAUGGGAGGGAGGUCAUGUAGAUGUUGUAGGCUACUGUGAUGAGUUUGACUUUUACUCUGGAAGACAGGAAGACAACCAUAAAAUUUGGGCCAUUAGAGUGAAAUAAUUUGUCUUUAUUUUAAAAGGAUCACUUUGCCUCCUCUGUUGGAAUAGAAUGUGUAUGUACUGGAGAGUGGUGGUGGAUAGACAGCUAUAAUGGAAGCUGGGAGACAAAUUAGAAAGCAACUGUUUUCUCCCAAAUUCAUUCCCUGCCCUUCCUCUAAUUACAUCUAUAUCUUAGAGGUCUAAUCCUUAAAAAAUAUAUUUCCCAGAUUCCCUUGCUAAUUGGUUUCAAACUAAAUUUAGUCAAAAAGAAGCAUUGUCAUGAAGUUCAGGGCACCAAGAAGGGACAAGCUGGGGCAUUGCUCUCUCUCUCUGAUUGCUUUGGGUUGUGCCUGUGGCAACUGCCACAUGUGCCCCAUGGCCAGUCCCUGCUGGGCAGGCUACUGUGAUUGCCAUUUGUAUUGGGUGAUCUCAGCUUUUGGUUUCCCAUGAUACCAUCUCUAGGGGUAGCAGCUGGCUAUAAUAACUAAUGUCUGGAUUAUCCUAACUCUUCUGUUUGUUCUUUCAGGUAUUUAACAAUGUUGUGACUAAUUGGCUUCCAUUAUUUCCCUAGAGUAGGUUCUGUUAUUACCCUGGAAUAUGUUUGUAAUAGAGUGGGCUAUUACAAUCAUCUAGGAUAAAGAUAAUCGUGGCUUGGAAUAAGGUGGUAGCAAUGGAAGUGAUGAGAAGUCAUUAGAUGCAGAAUAUAUUUUAUAGAUGGAAUGUGAUAAAAUAAAAAAUAAACUGGACUCUGGUUUCCAGCAUAUAGUUCCAAAAGACUGAAAUUGAAAUUUGUGGAGUAAUAGGGUAUCUUUUGUAUGCUAAUGAGAAGAGUGGCGGUUGGGGGCCCCUAGAAAGCUUCAGCAUGAGGGCUAGUCACCAGAAAAACUAUGACAUGAUUAGAGGGCUAGAACUUUCAGCCUCACUCCUUGACCUCUGAGGAGAGAAGACAGGCUAGAGAUUGAGUUCAAUCACCAAUGGCCAAUGAUUUAAUCAAUAUCAUGCCUACAUAACGCAGUCUCCAUAGAAACCCCUAAACCGUGGAUUUCAGAGAGCUUCUGGGUUGGCCAACAUAUCAACAGAGGAGCUGUGAGGUGGGCAAGCCUGAAGAGGGCUUGGAAGGUCCUGUAUCUGCCCCCUUUUCUUUGCUUUAUGCUUCUCUUCCAUGGGCUGUUCCUAAGUUGUAUCUUUUAUAUAGUCAAAAAGAGUUUUGAUAUAGGUUGUAUGAGUGUUAUAAGAUAAAUAAAAGUCAAAAAUGACUCUAGUGUUUUUCCUGAGAAAUUGAAAAUGGCAUAAUUAUUAUUAACUAAGAUGAAAAUAAUGUAAAUAAAGCAAGUCUAUGCUGGGAGAGAUUAGGGGUUCAGUUUUGUACAUGCUGUGUUUAAGAUGCCCAUUAACUACCUAAUUGGAACGUUUAAAUGAUCAGUUGUGUAUAUAUGCAUCUGGAGUCAGAAGUCCAAACUAGAGAUAUAAAUUUAGGAAUCAACAGCUUUUAUUGUUGUCUAUUCAAAGUUAUGAGCCUAGAUGAGAUCAUUCCAGAAAGUGAACAUAUAUAAAAGAGAGAUUACCAAAAGUGAAUGAGGACUCCAUUUACUAUACCUUCAAUUAUUUAAAAUCUUAUAAAUUGGUGCUGUCCAAUAGAACUUCCUGCAGAGACAGAAAUGUUCUAUAUUUGUACUAUCUGAAAUAGUAGCUGUAUUAGUUUUCUAUUUCUACCACAACAAAUUGUCUCAACUAUAGUGGCUUAAACAACAGUAAUUUAUUAUCUUGUAGUUCUGUAGAUCAGAAAUGCACCAUGGUGUCACUGGGCUAAAACCAAGGUGCCAGCAUGGUUGCAUUCCUUUUUGGAGGCUCUGGUGGAGAAUCUGUUUCUUUGACUGAUCUAACUUCUAGAGCCCAUUUGCAUUCCGUGGCUUGUGGCUCCCUACCUGCAUCUUCAAAGCUAGCAAGGCAUGUUGAGUUCUCACAGCUCAUUACCCUGAUCUUUUCUUCUGUCUUCCUCCUCCACUUUAAGUAUCCUUGUGAUUAGAUUGGAACCCUUGUGGAUAAUCCAGGAUAAUCUUCCCAUCUCAAGGCCCUUAACCUUAAUCACAUGUAUAAAGUCCCUUUUGUCAUGUAAAGUAACAUAUCCAUAGGUUCCAGGAUUAGAAUGCAUACAUUUUUGGGAGGCCAUUACUUUGCCUACCAGCAUGACCACUAUCACCAUAUGGUGAUUGGACAUUUGAAACAUGGCUAGUGGAAUUGAGAAACAACAUUAUUUUAUUUUAACUAAUUUAAAUGGAAAUGGAAAUGCAUAUAGAUAAUGGCUACCUUAUUGGACAGCACACAUCUAGAAGAAUAGGAGAGUAAAUAGACUAGGGACAUGUGGUAUGAUCACAGACCAACAUUAAGAGCCUAUGUAUGAUUUGUAGUUAUGAAUUUUAAGUAAGACUUUAGCAUAGUUGUAUUUCUACAGCCAUGUUAACUACUGAUGGCACUCUAUAUUAAUCCCUUCUCACACUGCUAUAAGGACAUACUUGAGACUGGGUAAUUUAUUUUAAAAAAGAGGUUUAAUGGACUCAGUUUCAUAUGGCUGGGGAGACCUCACAAUCAUGGUGUAAGGCGAAGAAGGAGUAAAGGCACAUCUUACAUGGCAGCAGGCAAGAGAGCAUGUGAGGGGGAAUGGCCUUUUAUAAAACUAUCAGAUCUCAUGAGAACUCACUCACUAUGACAAGAACACCAUGGAGGUAACCACCUUCAUGAUUCAAUUACCUCCCACCAGGUCCCUCCUAUGACAUGUGGGGAUCAUGAAAACUACAAUCCACGAUGAGAUUUGGGUGGGGACACAGCCAAACCAUAUCACACCCAUAAAAUUGCCUUGAAGAUACAUUAUCAAAAAACGAUAAUUAUAAACCAAGGGAGAUAAAGGUUUUGAAUUUAAGAAACAGUGAUGAGCAAAGAGACCAGAAAAAUUUCUCUUAACUCUAAAUAAUUAUUGAGGCUACCACUCCAAAAAUUAAUAUAAUUUUUUUUUUAGAUGAAGUCUCACACUGUCACCUGGGCUGGAGUGCAGUGGCGCAAUCUCGGCUCACUGCAACCUCUGCCUCCUGGGUUCAAGCAAUUCUCCUGCCUCAGCCUCCCAAGUAGCUGGGAUUACAGGCACCCGCCACUACACCCAGCUAAUUUGUUGUAUUUUUAGUAGAGAUGGGGUUUCACUAUGUUGGCCAGGCUGGUCUCAACUCCUGAUCUCAGGUGAUCCCCCCCACCUCAGCCUCCCAAAGUGCUAGGAUUACAGGUGUGAGCCACUGCGCCCAGCCCAAAAUAUCUUAAGUAGAUGGGGUUGUGCCAUAUUGGCCAGUCUGGUCUUGAACUCCUGACCUUGUGAUCCACCUGCCUCGGCCUCCCAAAGUGCUGGGAUUACAGGCAUGAGCCACUGUGCCUGGCCAUAUAAUUUUUAAAAGAAGAUUCAUUAAACAAAGGAUCCACAAUAUAAUAAAAAAUUCCAAACUAUCAAAAGCCAAAUGAUUAAUUCUUGACACUUAGGAAAUAAAUGGAUUGAUUAUUUUGUUCCGAAUUUCAGAACAACCAAUAAAAUAAGAGAAAUAAGAUACAGAAUUUGCAAAUCAUUAGAAAGAAGUAACAAAGUUAUAAACAGGGAAGUAUUUUUAAAUGACACUUGAAAACCCAAACAAAAGAAGACAUAACACACGAUGGCAGCAAAAAGUUUAAACAUAUUAUGAUUACAAUUAUGAUUAGAUAAGUUCCCCUGUCAAAGACAAAGAACAGUAAUUAGUUGUUUAUAAGAACUACACUUAAAUCAAAUGACACACAAAGGUAAAAAUUGAACAAGGCAAUGAGAAGCAAAACAAUACCCAGAAAUAGAUUUCAGCAGAAGUGGGAGUCAUUCUUUCCAGUAUAGGUUUGAAUUCACAAUACCUGCAGGGCCUAAAAAAGCUCAAAUUAAAAUUUAAUGUAAAGUGGUCUCCAAUUAGUAGUUUCCCAAGAUGCCUUGCAGAAGAGGCAAUACAAAUUCAUUCUUUUUUUCUUUUCGCCACAAGGUGGGUGUCAUUGUGACUGGCUGCUACCUCCCCAUGAGUCUUCUAAAAUAAAACCUGCAAAUUCACAUCUUCCCCAUGCUUCCAGAGAAUGCAUAUUCUUCCUUUGAAAAAAGAAAACCAGGUAUGGUUGCAUGUGCUUGUAGUUCUAGCUACUCAGGAGUACUCAGGAGGCUGAGGUAGGAGGAUCACUUAAGCCUAGGAGUUCAAGUCCAAGUCUAACCAAGACAUAUGGAGACACUCUUUCUGGGGAGGGGAGGGAAAAAGAGGGCAACACCUAGGGAAACAGAUUUAGGUAGAGAGGGACAAUAGAAUUCUCAAUUUAUAACAAGGAAAAAAAUGACUACCAGACAUUUGUAAGACGUCAAUAGCACAAAAGAGAAACACAACCAGAUCAUAAUUUUUUGGUCAAAGGUCUAUAAAACGCUGGCUAAUUCUGAGGAUAUGGUGCAAAAAAAUAUGAUUUUGUUAACCACAACAAAAAGAAAGGUAAGAAAUGCUAGGAGAAAGCUAAAAGCUCCAUACUAAAAUAAUGGUCCUAAUAUUAAGCAAAGUAAAAUGUGGUAUGAUUUUGAGUGGUCAGCAGAGUGUAAGAAUAAUCUAUUUGCACUUGAUACUUUCAGCUGUCACAGAGGUCAUAGAAUUGGGCUUAUUGAGAAGGAAAGGUAAAUGCUAGUACACUACUUGGCUCAGAAGUGAACAAAAUUGCAGUUUGCUCAAACAACUCCAUAGGAAAAAGUCUAAUAAUCUGAUGUAAAAAUGGGCAGAAGAUUUGAAUAGAUAUUUCUCAAAAGAAGACAUACGAAUGGCAAACAGACAUAUGAAAAUGUACUCAAAAUCAUUGAUCAUCAGAGAAAUGUAAAUCAAAACUGCAAUGAGAUAUCAUCCGACUCCAGUUAAAAUGGCUUUUAUCCAAAAGUCAGGCAAUAAAAAAUGCUGGUAAGGAUGUAGAGAAAAGGGAACCCUUGUACACUGUUAGUGGGAAUGUAAAUUAAUACAAUCACUAUGGAGAACAGUUUGGAGGAUCCUCAAAAAACUAAAAAUAGAGCUACCAUAUGAUUCAGCAAUCUCACUGCUAGGUAUAUACCCAAAAGUAUAUUGAAGAGACAUCUGCACUCCCAUGUUUGUUGCAGCACUGUUCAUAAUAGCCAAGAUUUGGAAGCCACCUAAGUGUCCAUCAACAGAUGAAUGGAGAAACUGUGGUACAUAUACACAACGGAGUGCUAUUCAGCCAUAAAAAAGAAUGAUACUCUGUCAUCUGCAACAACAUGAAUGGAACUGGAGAUCAUUAUGUUGUUAAAUAAGCCAGACACAGAAAGACAAACAUCACAUAUUUUCACUUAUUUUGGGGAUAUAAAAGUCAAAACAAACUCAUGGAGAUAGAGAACAGAUAGACGGUUACCAGAGGCUAGGAGGAGGAGUGGUGGGGGGCAGUUAGUGAUGGUUAAUUGGUACAAAAAAAUGGUUAGAAAUAAUAAAUAAGACCUAGUAUUAGAUAGGACAACAGGAGGACUAUAGUCAAAAAUAAUUUAUUUGUACAUUUCAAAGUAACUAAAAGAGUGUAAUUGUAUUAUUUGUAGCACAUAGGAUAAAUGCUUGAGGUGACGGAUACCCCAUUUACCCUGAUGUGAUUAUUACACAUCGUAUGCCUGUACCAAAAGAUCUCAUGUACCUCAUAAAUACAUACACCUACUAUAUACCCACACAAAUUAAAAAUUAAAAAAAUUUAAAGAAAUUACAGUUUGUUGGUUUUGAAUAUUUGACCAAAUUUUUUACUAAGCACAGAUAGAUUGAAUAUAAUUUUAUUGUCCUUUUGACAUUAUGAUAAUGAAGGUAUCUACACAGAAGUCUGAGAUGAGAAAAAAAUGAUAUAAUAUCCACCUACUACAUAGUGGGUAGUUUAUAUACUAAAGUUAUUGUUAUGAGAAAGAAUGGCUUAGGAAUAUUAUUUAAAAUUAAUUAAGGGGUGUUAAAAAUAAAAUACCAAGUGUAAAAAUGACAAAGGCAAGAAGAAACAGUAUAUAAUGUGAGUAAAUCUUAAUCUUUCCAAGAGAGGAGACAGUACAUAAUGUCUAAAAUUGUUAAACCAUGAAAUAGAAAUAUAGUUAUUUUAUUCAUAAUUAAGGAGAUAACUACUAUAGCACGAAAUCGUGCCAAAAAUGGUUGCCUCUGGGAAAUGUGAUUAUAGAUAUUAUAAUAUUUUGGACUGUAAAAAUCUGCUUUUAAGACUGAGGAAAUACAAAUAGGACAAUAUUUAUUUGAAAUUUGUAUCCUCAGGGAGUGUAAAGAAAUUAAUGUAUCCACAAAAUAAUAAUAGCUGCUAUUUGAAAACAUAGUUUUCUUGAAAGUUAAAAUAGUAAUAGUCUUCUAAAAAUUUUGUUAGUUUUGGUUUUCUCUUUAAUCUGAGUUAUGUAGAAAAGUGCUUAUUUCAAAUUAGGUAGGCUUGUUUUAUUCCUUUUUCUGUCUUUUUUCUAUCAACUAGUGUUUUAUUGUGUUCAGAAAAUGCCAUGCAUUAAAAGACUACUUUUGAGAAUUUCUAGAGAUUUUCUUUGUUACUAAAGAGAUUUUUGUAAUUGUUACAUGGGAUUUUAAAAAGAAUGUAAAUUAUCCUUUUUGUCAAGUAUAAUGAUUUCUGAAACCUAGCUGUGUCAGAAUACUGUAUAAUACUGUAAUAGUAUGUUGUUUUUGGCUAUGUGUACUUAUUUCUUAGAGUGGUAUGUUAAAGCCUCGACCUUGUGACUUUGUUUAUUUCUCUCUCUACAUCUAAACAUUUCCAAGACAUGUUAUUUGCAAUACCAAGACCAUAACUAUUAUGUAUUUAAUCAAAAUAAAAUAUUUCGGCUCUCUAUAA